Molecule: transfer RNA, 87 nt
Filed under: Desulfobulbaceae bacterium
Lineage: Bacteria; Pseudomonadati; Thermodesulfobacteriota; Desulfobulbia; Desulfobulbales; Desulfobulbaceae
Also listed under: 5 other names
Description: tRNA-Leu
Rfam family: tRNA
About the family: Transfer RNA (tRNA) molecules are approximately 80 nucleotides in length. Their secondary structure includes four short double-helical elements and three loops (D, anti-codon, and T loops).
Source: RNAcentral
GCCUGGGUGGCGGAACUGGUAGACGCAAGGGACUUAAAAUCCCUCGGGGUUCGCCCCGUGCGAGUUCGAUUCUCGCCCUAGGCACCA